UUUAAUGACCUCUUCAAUUUAAAUCUUUCAGCUCAAACUUUGAGAAGAUUUUUCUUACACUAUAUACUAAAUUUUGAUAUAUUAAAAUUGUAUCGUUUGUUUAUUUAUUUCCCCAUUUUUAAUUUUAAAUUAAGUGUGCAUUAUAGGUUAUUGUCGUGAAUUGAGUAAUUUGUGCGCAUGCGCAGUUUUAUCGCUUUCGUGCGGUCCCAUCAAAAGGGGGAGAAACACCGAAGUUGUUUUACGCUGUUGUAUCGAUUUUCGAUCUUCGAUCCUUAACCUCUUAGGCACGGUUGAAGUUUACGCAGCGCUGCUUAUGUACUGCAGAGUUCGGCGCGAAUUAUGGGUAAACAGUACUACAAUAUAUGACAAUGCUAUUCUUCACGCGAGUACAUUAAAAUAAAAUUCACAAAAUAUGUAAUUUCCAGAUGUUUCCAAUAUCGUGUAUUAGUGCAAAGAGAUGUUCCCAUAGUGCCGGAACUACUUGGUACCUUUUAUUUGCAUGUAAUAUACUUUUGUGGGACUUGUUAAUACUCGUAUAAAACGUGGUGAAGGCAAAAAAGCGAAUCAAAAUUUAUGAAGACAGUCAUUCAAUUGAAACGGUGAUCGAGUGAGUCAGUAGAGUGAGCCUCUGUAGUGUCGCUGUGUAAUCUACGAUGAGAUUUGCCAAAGCUACUAUAAUGGAUCAUCGUACAGAAAGAUUGUAUUCAUGCAUAUUACUAUAGUGGUGCAUCGUACCUAAGAGGUUAACGACUGUCAAGCCACUCGACAGAUCCUUCGGAUCCAUUGUGUAAAUUAUAGAUCGGCAGUUUGCUGCAGUUUGCAUUCGUCAAUGUUGAGGUUCUCGUUGUUGUCUCCCACACUGCCCCAACUUCUUAUCACCAAUCUGGAUCUCAGCUGGACACCAGGACCACAACUUGAGCUGCAUGGGGACCAAUCGGACCACUGUGUGUAACGAUCCUCAGGACACUUCUAAUUGCGGGAUCAAUCGACAAAAAAAUUAAAUCUUUAUACAAACACAAGUUCUUUUGUAAUAAUCAUUUAUAAUCAUAAACUUGUAAUUAUUAUAAUUCUACAUUGAAUGCAUUGUUUAUUUAAUAUUUUACUUAAUUCAUAUGUAACAAUUUAAAUAUAACCUUUUGUACUUGUAAUUUCUUUGCCUUCAUUAGUGCAUUUACUGUACAAUUUUAAAUAAAAAUUUAGUUUAAAAUAAUA
Megachile rotundata (alfalfa leafcutting bee) is the source of this 1212-nucleotide long non-coding RNA. RefSeq lists it as uncharacterized. Lineage: Eukaryota; Metazoa; Arthropoda; Insecta; Hymenoptera; Megachilidae. The record is from RefSeq and is a predicted model, not a curated record.